CGGAAGGUCCAGGCGUUAUCCGGAUUUAUUGGGUUUAAAGGGUGCGUAGGCCGUUUGAUAAGCGUGCUGUGAAAUAUAGUGGCUCAACCUCUAUCGUGCAGCGCGAACUGUCGAACUUGAGUGCGUAGUAGGUAGGCGGAAUUCGUGGUGUAGCGGUGAAAUGCUUAGAUAUCACGCAGAACUCCGAUUGCGAAGGCAGCUUACMUAAGGUACAACUGACGCUGAAGCACGAAAGCGUGGGUAUCAAACAGGAUUAGAUACCCUGGUAGUCCACGCAGUAAACGAUGAUAACUGGGCGUAUGCGAUAUACAGUAUGCUCCUAAGCGAAAGCGUUAAGUUAUCCACCUGGGGAGUACGCCGGCAACGGUGAAACUCAAAGGAAUUGACGGGGGCCCGCACAAGCGGAGGAACAUGUGGUUUAAUUCGAUGAUACGCGAGGAACCUUACCCGGGAU
RNAcentral lists this ribosomal RNA (454 nucleotides) under uncultured bacterium. RNAcentral's name for it is "bacterial SSU rRNA". It matches the Rfam family "Bacterial small subunit ribosomal RNA", at positions 526 to 981 of the family's 1533-position model. The record is from RNAcentral.